GCAGUCGAGCGGACAGAAGGGAGCUUGCUCCCGGAUGUUAGCGGCGGACGGGUGAGUAACACGUGGGUAACCUGCCUGUAAGACUGGGAUAACUCCGGGAAACCGGAGCUAAUACCGGAUAGUUCCUUGAACCGCAUGGUUCAAGGAUGAAAGACGGUUUCGGCUGUCACUUACAGAUGGACCCGCGGCGCAUUAGCUAGUUGGUGAGGUAACGGCUCACCAAGGCGACGAUGCGUAGCCGACCUGAGAGGGUGAUCGGCCACACUGGGACUGAGACACGGCCCAGACUCCUACGGGAGGCAGCAGUAGGGAAUCUUCCGCAAUGGACGAAAGUCUGACGGAGCAACGCCGCGUGAGUGAUGAAGGUUUUCGGAUCGUAAAGCUCUGUUGUUAGGGAAGAACAAGUGCAAGAGUAACUGCUUGCACCUUGACGGUACCUAACCAGAAAGCCACGGCUAACUACGUGCCAGCAGCCGCGGUAAUACGUAGGUGGCAAGCGUUGUCCGGAAUUAUUGGGCGUAAAGGGCUCGCAGGCGGUUUCUUAAGUCUGAUGUGAAAGCCCCCGGCUCAACCGGGGAGGGUCAUUGGAAACUGGGAAACUUGAGUGCAGAAGAGGAGAGUGGAAUUCCACGUGUAGCGGUGAAAUGCGUAGAGAUGUGGAGGAACACCAGUGGCGAAGGCGACUCUCUGGUCUGUAACUGACGCUGAGGAGCGAAAGCGUGGGGAGCGAACAGGAUUAGAUACCCUGGUAGUCCACGCCGUAAACGAUGAGUGCUAAGUGUUAGGGGGUUUCCGCCCCUUAGUGCUGCAGCUAACGCAUUAAGCACUCCGCCUGGGGAGUACGGUCGCA
This 850-nucleotide ribosomal RNA is filed under the name Bacillus stratosphericus. RNAcentral's name for it is "bacterial SSU rRNA". It matches the Rfam family "Bacterial small subunit ribosomal RNA", at positions 57 to 890 of the family's 1533-position model. Lineage: Bacteria; Bacillati; Bacillota; Bacilli; Caryophanales; Bacillaceae. The record is from RNAcentral.